RNAcentral lists this long non-coding RNA (482 nucleotides) under Setaria italica (foxtail millet). RNAcentral describes it as "long non-coding RNA (SITA_LNC002029)". Lineage: Eukaryota; Viridiplantae; Streptophyta; Magnoliopsida; Poales; Poaceae. The record is from RNAcentral.
UCUGAGUGUGUUGGUACUCGGUACAACAUCACAAACAACAUAUAUAGGCCGGCCGAGACCAAAGGAUCGGAUCACCUUCCAGAUGCAUGCAACCAACGUGAUAUGAAUGCUAUAACUGCACAUUCGGUUUGAGAAUUGUAACAUAGCCUUCCUCUUAAUCUGCAGCAUAAAUUUCCUAGCGCGCCGAGCUAAGGUUUUUGGAGAAGUAAAAUUCCAGUCGCAUCGCAUUUCCAGUCAACCGCAUUGGCCAUGGGUUCGUUAGUUUCCUUUCGAAGUUCUAGUUGCCCUCUUCUUCCCCCAUCAUUCCUUCUUGCAGCUCAAUGUUGGUUCCGAGUGAGCAUCUUAUAAAAAUCGGCUGGCAUUCAAGCAUGUUGGUGCGCAUAAAGUGAGUUAAUUUUCACCAAUCUGGUCCUCCACCAAUAAUCAGUGUUGUGUGUACCAAACUACUACUUGUUUGCAACCGCAAUUUCUUAUGUGUGGUC